This 241-nucleotide ribosomal RNA is filed under the name Bacillus nakamurai. RNAcentral's name for it is "partial 16S ribosomal RNA". It matches the Rfam family "Bacterial small subunit ribosomal RNA", at positions 814 to 1053 of the family's 1533-position model. The record is from RNAcentral. Lineage: Bacteria; Bacillati; Bacillota; Bacilli; Caryophanales; Bacillaceae.
GGCGUUUGUAAGGGGGCUUGCGCUCCUUAGUGCUGCAGCUAACGCAUUAAGCACAUCCGCCUGGGGAGUACGGUCGCAAGACUGAAACUCAAAGGAAUUGACGGGGGCCCGCACAAGCGGUGGAGCAUGUGGUUUAAUUCGAAGCAACGCGAAAAACCUUACCAGGUCUUGACAUCCUCUGACAAUCCUAAAGAUAGGACGUCCCCUUCGGGGGCAGAGUGACAGGUGGUGCAUGGCUGUC